GAAUGCUGACAUAAGUAACGAUAAAGCGGGUGAAAAGCCCGCUCGCCGGAAGACCAAGGGUUCCUGUCCAACGUUAAUCGGGGCAGGGUGAGUCGACCCCUAAGGCGAGGCCGAAAGGCGUAGUCGAUGGGAAACAGGUUAAUAUUCCUGUACUUGGUGUUACUGCGAAGGGGGGACGGAGAAGGCUAUGUUGGCCGGGCGACGGUUGUCCCGGUUUAAGCGUGUAGGCUGGUUUUCCAGGCAAAUCCGGAAAAUCAAGGCUGAGGCGUGAU
This 272-nucleotide ribosomal RNA is filed under the name Escherichia coli. Its description in RNAcentral is "partial 23S ribosomal RNA". It matches the Rfam family "Bacterial large subunit ribosomal RNA", at positions 1292 to 1567 of the family's 2925-position model. Lineage: Bacteria; Pseudomonadati; Pseudomonadota; Gammaproteobacteria; Enterobacterales; Enterobacteriaceae. RNAcentral also lists the same sequence under 1 other name. The record is from RNAcentral.